This is a long non-coding RNA of Aethina tumida (small hive beetle), 482 nucleotides long. RefSeq lists it as uncharacterized. The record is from RefSeq and is a predicted model, not a curated record. NCBI's taxonomy places the organism in Eukaryota, Metazoa, Arthropoda, Insecta, Coleoptera, Nitidulidae. The transcript has 3 exons.
UUUAUAAACCAUCUCGUUAAAACAAAUUUCAGAAGAAGAAUAUCCAUGUCUACUAGAUACAAAUCGUCACCAGAGUUAACUUCAAACGGUAACCAUGAAACGAAAUCAAUAUUCGUCUCAAAUUCCCAGUCGACACUAGCAAAUAAUUUUCGAUCCCCAGUUUUCAAAAUUUUAGUAAGUGGUAGUUUAACUUAAUGAGCAAUGGGUUGCUGUCCAGCCCCUUGCUGUCCAGCUCCUUGCUGUCCAACAUUCUGCUGCGCACCAACUUGCUGUGUCUACGUGCCCUACGUUUAUCCUGUGUGUAUGCCAUGUUGCGUCCCGUGUUGCCCCCCACCCUGUUGUCCACCUUGUCCACCCUGUUAGUUUAGCCGUCGACACAGCAUUGGUGCUUCAGAAAUUAAAUUGUGAUAACUGUAACUGUAAUAAGUAAGGUCUAAAAUCAAGGAUGUAAUUUAAUGAACAAUAAAUAUUGUACAAAUAUA